UACGGAGGAUCCAAGCGUUAUCCGGAAUCAUUGGGUUUAAAGGGUCCGUAGGCGGCUUUAUAAGUCAGUGGUGAAAUCUCACGGCUCAACCGUGAAAUGGCCAUUGAUACUGUAGGGCUUGAAUUACCAGGAAGUAACUAGAAUAUGUAGUGUAGCGGUGAAAUGCUUAGAUAUUACAUGGAAUACCGAUUGCGAAGGCAGGUUACUACUGGUGGAUUGACGCUGAUGGACGAAAGCGUGGGUAGCGAACAGG
RNAcentral lists this ribosomal RNA (253 nucleotides) under uncultured Flavobacterium sp. RNAcentral's name for it is "partial 16S ribosomal RNA". It matches the Rfam family "Bacterial small subunit ribosomal RNA", at positions 524 to 776 of the family's 1533-position model. Lineage: Bacteria; Pseudomonadati; Bacteroidota; Flavobacteriia; Flavobacteriales; Flavobacteriaceae. The record is from RNAcentral.